Molecule: ribosomal RNA, 405 nt
Filed under: uncultured bacterium
Lineage: Bacteria
Description: bacterial SSU rRNA
Rfam family: Bacterial small subunit ribosomal RNA
Source: RNAcentral
GGGGGAAUCUUGGACAAUGGGGGGAACCCUGAUCCAGCAACGCCGCGUGAGCGAAGAAGGCCUUCGGGUCGUAAAGCUCUUUUCUGAGGGAAGAGGCAGGACGGUACCUCAGGAAUAAGUCUCGGCUAACUACGUGCCAGCAGCCGCGGUAAAACGUAGGAGGCGAGCGUUAUCCGGAUUUACUGGGCGUAAAGGGCAAGUAGGCGGUGGCUCAAGUUGGGCGUGACAUCUCCCGGCUCAACUGGGAGGGGUCGUUCAAAACUGGGUCACUAGAGGGCAGGAGAGGGAAGCGGAAUUCCUAGUGUAGCGGUGGAAUGCUCAGAUAUUAGGAAGAACACCAGUGGCGAAGGCGGCUUCCUGGCCUGCACCUGACGCUGAGAGGCGAAAGCUAGGGGAGCGAACGGG